GUAAAUAAUUAAGGGCGUAUGGUGGAUGCCUAGGCUCUCAGAGGCGAUGAAGGACGUGAUAAGCUGCGAAAAGCUCCGUUUAGGUGCAAAUAACCUUUGAUGCGGAGAUCUCCGAAUGGGAUAACCCAAUAUGUUGAAGACAUAUUAUACCGUAAGGUAGGCAAACGCAGGGAACUGAAACAUCUAAGUACCUGCAGGAGAAGAAAACAAACGUGAUUCCCCCAGUAGCGGCGAGCGACCGGGGAUAAGCCCAAACCGUUAUUGUUUCGGCAGUAGCGGGGUAGUAGGACUGCGACAUUGAUGAAAUAAAUGAAAUGGAACACCUUGGAAAAUGUGAUCACAGAGGGUGAUAAUCCCGUACAUGCAAGUUUAUGAAUCAUAGCAGACUCCUGAGUAAGUCGGGACACGUGUAAUCCUGACCGAAUCCGCCGGGACCAUCCGGCAAGGCUAAAUACUCCUGAGAGACCGAUAGUGAACCAGUACCGUGAGGGAAAGGUGAAAAGCACUUCGAACAGAAGAGUGAAAUAGUCCCUGAACCCAUACGCCUACAAGCUGUCGGAGCCGCUUCGUGCGGUGACGGCGUGCCUUUUGCAUAAUGAGCCUACGAGUUACUCAUCACCAGCGAGGUUAAGUACUUCAGGUACGUAAGCCGAAGCGAAAGCGAGUCUGAAUAGGGCGUCAAGUUGGUGGUGGUAGACGCGAAACCUUAGUGAUCUACCCAUGGGCAGGGUGAAGGUUUGGUAACACAAACUGGAGGCCCGAACCGGUAAACGUUGAAAAGUUUUCGGAUGACCUGUGGGUAGGGGUGAAAGGCCAAUCAAACUGGGAAAUAGCUCGUACUCUCCGAAAUGCAUUUAGGUGCAGCCUCUGUUGUUUUGUUCUAGAGGUAGAGCUACUGAUUGGAUGCGAGGGCUUCACCGCCUAUCAAAUCCGGCCAAACUCCGAAUGCUAGAACAUGAAGACAGGGAGUGAGCCAGCGGGUGCUAAGGUCCGUUGACGAAAGAGGGAGAACUCAGACCAUCAGCUAAGGUCCCCAAUUAUAUGCUAAGUUGGAAUUAAAACGGGGUGGGACUGCUUAGACAGCUAGGAUGUUGGCUUGGAAGCAGCCAUUCAUUUAAAGAGUGCGUAACAGCUCACUAGUCGAGCGGUCCUGCAUGGAUAAUACGCGGGCAUAAGCAUAUAACCGAAGCUAUGGGAUUGUAGAUGAUACAAUCGGUAGGAGAGCAUUCCAUUCAGCGUAGAAGCAGUACCGUGAGGUAUUGUGGAGCGGAUGGAAAAGCAAAUGUAGGCAUAAGUAACGAUAAUGCGGGUGAGAACCCCGCACGCCGAAAGAUCAAGGAUUCCCCGGCAAUGUCAAUCAUCCGGGGGUAAGUCGGAUCCUAAGGGUAAGCCGAGUGGCGAUCCCGAUGGCAAACAGGUUAAUAUUCCUGUACUGAUCAUAACUGCGAUGCAGCGACGCAGAGGUGACACUGCUGCGUACUGACGGAAUAGUACGUUGAAACCCGUAUUCUUUGAUACCGGUAGUGAAGCACGCCGGUAGAGAUGAAAGGUGAUAGUACCGCAAUGCUUCGGUUGCGCGGAUAACGCAGGUAAGCUGACUGCCAAGAAAACCUGCUAAGCUUCAGGUAAUGAUCAUCCGUACUGUAAACGGACACACGUGAUCAGGUAGAAAAUACUAAGGCGCUCGAGAGAUUCAUGGUUAAGGAACUAGGCAAAAUGGUCCUGUAACUUCGGGAUAAAGGACGCUCUUGUGAAAGAGCCGCAGAUAAUAGGCCCAGGCGACUGUUUACCAAAAACACAUGGCUAUGCUAAUUCGCAAGAAGAUGUAUAUGGCCUGACACCUGCCCGGUGCCGGAAGGUUAAGAGGAGAGCUCAGAGGCAACUCGAAGGUUUGAAUUGAAGCCCCGGUAAACGGCGGCCGUAACUAUAACGGUCCUAAGGUAGCGAAAUUCCUUGUCGGGUAAGUUC
RNAcentral lists this ribosomal RNA (1968 nucleotides) under human gut metagenome. RNAcentral describes it as "bacterial LSU rRNA". It matches the Rfam family "Bacterial large subunit ribosomal RNA", at positions 1 to 1983 of the family's 2925-position model. The record is from RNAcentral.